AUUGAACGCUGGCGGCAGGCCUAACACAUGCAAGUCGAACGGUAACAGGAAACAGCUUGCUGUUUCGCUGACGAGUGGCGGACGGGUGAGUAAUGUCUGGGAAACUGCCUGAUGGAGGGGGAUAACUACUGGAAACGGUAGCUAAUACCGCAUAACGUCGCAAGACCAAAGAGGGGGACCCUCGGGCCUCUUGCCAUCGGAUGUGCCCAGAUGGGAUUAGCUUGUUGGUGGGGUAACGGCUCACCAAGGCGACGAUCCGUAGCUGGUCUGAGAGGAUGACCAGCCACACUGGAACUGAGACACGGUCCAGACUCCUACGGGAGGCAGCAGUGGGGAAUAGUGCACAAUGGGCGCAAGCCUGAUGCAGCCAUGCCGCGUGUAUGAAGAAGGCCUUCGGGUUGUAAAGUACUUUCAGCGGGGAGGAAGGGAGUAAAGUUAAUACCUUUGCUCAUUGACGUUACCCGCAGAAGAAGCACCGGCUAACUCCGUG
RNAcentral lists this ribosomal RNA (490 nucleotides) under uncultured bacterium. Its description in RNAcentral is "partial 16S ribosomal RNA". It matches the Rfam family "Bacterial small subunit ribosomal RNA", at positions 30 to 507 of the family's 1533-position model. The record is from RNAcentral.